GAUUAACGCUGGCGGCGUGCCUAAUGCAUGCAAGUCGAACGUGGUCCCUUCGGGGGCAAACGUGGCGGACGGGUGAGGAACACGUGGGGAACCUGCCCAUUGGUGGGGGGUAGCCCGCGG
RNAcentral lists this ribosomal RNA (120 nucleotides) under uncultured bacterium. RNAcentral's name for it is "partial 16S ribosomal RNA". It matches the Rfam family "Bacterial small subunit ribosomal RNA", at positions 28 to 153 of the family's 1533-position model. The record is from RNAcentral.